CUUCGAAGAUCAUUUUACAAAAAACUACCCCAGGGAAUUAUAGAAAUUUCGCUAUCAAGAAAAUGGAAUCCAAGGAGGAUAAAAAAAAUAAAACGACCAUUAUUGACCUCGAUUUAAAACAACCUUUGCCGGUAAGUUAUCUGGAAAUUAAAGUACAAAAUGAAAUCGAUUUUUACAGACCUAUCGAAGUAAAAUAUCUUGCGGACAGUCUAGAAACGGAGCAAGGUUGGAAAUAUAACUAUCGCACCUUGACCAGCGGAACGCUGAAUUCUAUCGAACCAAACAUUUUAAAAUUCCCAGGUCAAAUCGCAAAACAACUUAGACUGAUUAUUCAAAAUCAAGAUAACGAACCACUCCACA
This 360-nucleotide ribosomal RNA is filed under the name uncultured eukaryote. RNAcentral's name for it is "partial small subunit ribosomal RNA". The record is from RNAcentral.